UGGCGCUCCUUGAACAUUGCGGUGAAAGAGAAGAAACUAAUAUCGCACUACUGAUUUUCAUAUAAAUACUUAAGUCGUGUACGUUUUAUUUCCGUGAAGUAGAUUGAUUACUUGAUUGUUUGUAUGCGUAAACUAAUGCUCAGAUUAUCUAAUUUAUUCCAAACACAAGGAAAUGCAUUUUACGAUCACACUGAGAAGCUAUAGUAACUCAUUUAGAUAUUUUAAUGAGUUUUGGACGGAUAAUUCUAUAGUAAAAAUAAAGAAAAUAUCACUGCAAUAAUGCGCAAAACAAAAUAUAGCAAAAAUAAAAAUACAAAAAUCGCGACUGAAAACUCAUUUAUAGUUUCUUAUUUUCCUCAAUCUUUUUUAUUAUCUUGGGACAAGAUACCCGUCGUGCAAAAAUCAAUAAAAACAUCAUUACAAUUGCGUACACAGCGAUGAUGAAAUCGGGUGUUUAUAUCGUUAAAAUAAAAACCAAAAAAUCACGAAGUAAAACAGAGAUUGUUCAUUCGCGUGUCGCGAUUUAAACAACGAGUGAACUUGAAUCAAUUGCAUGUAAUACAGUCCUUAGAUUCAAUGUUUGUUCGCAAAGAUUUUUAUUUUUUUAACAGUCGCAUAAACUAUAUUUAUAAAAAACAAUAGAGUUUGGCGAAGUAAAUUCAAUGAUCGUUCAUUAGUAAUUAAAUACUGUAUAUUAGAGUCAUUGAAGAGAAUCUCAAUCAAUUUGAUGUCGACCUACUUCAUUUUCAAUCAUCUAUGAAUCAACCUCCCUCCAUUUCGACUUAAAUCACGGACGAGUGUUAUUGAGCCAUCGCAGAAUUUCUUAAAUAGUAAAUUAUGUCGAGGCUGAAAAUUUCUAAUCGUCCGACGCAGUUAAUUGGUUGUAAUUAAGUAAUUAAUUAGUAGAAAAGCAUUGAAUGAUUACGAGUUUUUUUCGGAAAUUUACUCCUAAAUGAUUUCGUGAAUUAUAUUUUUUGAUUUAUUGA
Vespa velutina is the source of this 986-nucleotide long non-coding RNA. RefSeq lists it as uncharacterized. Lineage: Eukaryota; Metazoa; Arthropoda; Insecta; Hymenoptera; Vespidae. The transcript has 3 exons. The record is from RefSeq and is a predicted model, not a curated record.